This 301-nucleotide ribosomal RNA is filed under the name uncultured bacterium. RNAcentral's name for it is "partial 16S ribosomal RNA". It matches the Rfam family "Bacterial small subunit ribosomal RNA", at positions 509 to 809 of the family's 1533-position model. The record is from RNAcentral.
CAGUCGCCGCGGGAAUACGUAGGGUGCAAGCGUUAAUCGGAAUUACUGGGCGUAAAGCGUGCGCAGGCGGUUCGUUAAGACAGAUGUGAAAUCCCCGGGCUUAACCUGGGAACUGCAUUUGUGACUGGCGGGCUAGAGUAUGGCAGAGGGGGGUAGAAUUCCACGUGUAGCAGUGAAAUGCGUAGAGAUGUGGAGGAAUACCGAUGGCGAAGGCAGCCCCCUGGGCCAAUACUGACGCUCAUGCACGAAAGCGUGGGGAGCAAACAGGAUUAGAUACCCGUGUAGUCCCUGUCUCUUAUAU